GUGUUGAAACACCGGUUCUCAUACGAUCACCGAAGUUAAGCAACGUCGAACCUGGUCAGUACCUUGAGGCGUGACCACUUUGGAGUACCAAGUGUUGUAA
Molecule: non-coding RNA, 100 nt
Organism: Acanthosepion pharaonis
Lineage: Eukaryota; Metazoa; Mollusca; Cephalopoda; Sepiida; Sepiidae
Source: the annotation of a GenBank genome assembly